AAUGCCCUUAGAGGCAUUCAUUGUAGAUAAGGCUGUUGUUUCAUAUGUAUAUCAGUAGGUGGCAGAGAGGAGAGAGGUUAUGUUCAUGGUAAGUGAACAUAUGGAUGAUUCGUAGCUUAAUACU
Molecule: small nucleolar RNA, 124 nt
Filed under: Mus pahari (shrew mouse)
Lineage: Eukaryota; Metazoa; Chordata; Mammalia; Rodentia; Muridae
Description: predicted gene, 26406 (MGP_PahariEiJ_G0034933.1)
Rfam family: Small nucleolar RNA SNORA17
About the family: snoRNA ACA 17 belongs to the H/ACA family of snoRNAs and is predicted to guide pseudouridylation of the 28S rRNA at positions U4659 and U4598. It shares the same host gene together with ACA43. NB This family has a high threshold value to exclude a large number of closely related sequences that do not appear to have conserved H and ACA boxes, and may be pseudogenes.
Source: RNAcentral